This 3186-nucleotide long non-coding RNA is filed under the name Anolis carolinensis (green anole). RNAcentral describes it as "lncRNA (ENSACAG00000043108.1)". The record is from RNAcentral. Lineage: Eukaryota; Metazoa; Chordata; Lepidosauria; Squamata; Anolidae.
UUGUUAGAAUGGUCCAGCAUUUUUGUGUUCUCAAAUAGUAUUCUGUGUCCAGGCUGGUUCAUCAAAGAAAAAGAAAAGGAAGGAAAACUGCCAUUUCUAGAUGUUCUGGUCAUCCGCAAACCCAAUCAACAAUUGGGCCACACAGUUUACAGAAAACCUACACACACAGAUAGAUACCUUCAUAAAAACUCCAACCAUCACCCAAGUCAAAAAAGGAGCACAAUCAAAGCCCUGACAGACCGUGCACAAAGAAUCUGCGAACCUCACCUCCUCCAAGGUGAACUCAACCACCUAAACUGGGCUCUACAGGCCAAUGGAUACUCCACCACAGACAUCAGAAGAGCUGCAAGGCCAAGAACAAGCCAUGAGAGUCAAGACAAAGAUCCACCCAGAGGAAAGGUGUCCUUACCAUACAUCAAGGGAACUACUGACCGCAUAGGGAAGCUGAUGAAGAAGCACAACCUACAAACUAUCUACAGACCCACGAAGAAAAUCCAACAAAUGCUACGGUCAGCGAAGGACAAGAGGGAUCCUCUCUCUUCUGCAGGAGUCUACCGGAUACCAUGCAGCUGUGGACAAGUCUACAUAGGGACCACCAAACGCAGCGCCCAAACAAGAGUCAAAGAACAUGAAAGGCACUGCAGACUAAUUCAACCAGAGAAAUCAGCCAUAGCAGAGCAUUUGAUGAACCAGCCUGGACACAGAAUACUAUUUGAGAACACAAAAAUUGCUGGACCAUUCUAACAACUAUCAUGUCAGACUACACAGAGAAGCCAUUGAAAUCCACAAGCAUGUGGACAACUUCAACAGAAAGGAAGAAACCAUGAAAAUGAACAAAAUCUGGCUACCAGUAUUACAAAACUCAAAAAUCAGAACAGUAAAUAAAAAGCAAUACUCUAAAAACAGAGGAUUUCCAGACAUGAAUCAACCAAGGGCAGUUAACGACUCUAAACAAAGGAUGCCCCAGAGGCAGGAAGAAGACAGCAGAUAAGCUUUUCAAUGCUAAUUUAAGUGAUUAACUACCUAACAUUCAUACUGACCUCUCUCACCCUAGACUUUCCACAGAUAUAUAUGAACCUCUUUGCUUAGUUUUCUCCAUACCUCACAACCUCUGAGGAUGCCUGCCAUAGAUGUGGGCGAAACGUCAGGAGAGAAUGCUUCUGGAACAUGGCCACACAGCCCGAAAGACAUACAACAAUAAUAAACUUUAUUUAUAUACCGCCCUAUCUCCUGGAUGGGACUCAGGGCAGUUUCCAAUCAUAAAAACAACACAAACAUUACAUAACAAACAUAAUAACACAUUAUUAAGCAAAGUAAAAAUACAAUUAUAGAAAUAAAUAACACUUACAUGACCUGAUCAAGGUGACGGAUACCAGGACAUCAUCCAUCCAAGCCCUGUUUUCGGAGGCUCUGACUUUCAGGUCUGGGUUUUUGGAUAGCAAUUUCUCAUCAAAUUACUAUCUAGAGCUCAUCCUAGUUAGCUUCCAAAUUCACAUGGGAUCUGAUACCAUUUAGACCCCUGUUUAUACUUUUAAACAUUUGUCUAAAUUCUUCUUUGUUCUAGGAUAUACACAGGUGUGCAUACACAUACAGGCUCUCACAAACACAUGCCAUGGUUUGGAAAAGAGGUCCUUGUAUGCCUCUAUUUGCCUGGCAUUUUCUCAAGAACUGCAAAUAUUGAAUUACAAAAGAUUUAUGUAAUUUCUGCCAGAAUCUUCUCUGCAUACAAAGGUUGGGGUCAGCUGGAUGGUACUGCAAAAAGGACCAACGAAGCAUCAUUAAAAUACCUCAGCAAGCUGUAAAGUACCUUUUAAAAUAUAUUAGCAACUGUAAACUAGUCACCAACUAGAUUAGUGUACAGUUUUGCCUUCUUUUAUCAAUUCCCUGAAUCAGUCCCACAGUUUAAUUUCCAUGCUCAUAUUCUAAGUUCCAAUUUUUCAGUGGUGUGAUAGAUUCUUAGAAAAAUGCUAUUUUUUCAGCUUUGAUUGUAAUUCCUCCACCAUGUCAUUUUGUUCUUUCAAUGGGAAAACAAGGAAAAUAAACUGCUAAAGGACUUGCACACACACACAAACACAGAGCGAGAAAAUACCUUAGGUGCUAUAUCUUUUUAAUGUUUUGCAGCCAUCAGGGAAGUGUUUAUUACUCUCUGGCAUUGUUAAAGUAUUUUGGAGGCAAAUUGUGUGUGUGGAAUUAUUAGCAAGGCUAAAGUAGAAUAUUUGUCUGUGUGUAUGUGUGUGUGUAUGUGUAUGUAUGUGUGUAUGUGUGUAUAUAUAUAUAUAUAUAUAUAUAUAUAUAUAUAUAUAUAUAUAUAUAUGAGAAAAGGUUUUUCCUGGAUGAUAAGUCUAGUCGUGUCUUACUCAGAGUUGAUGCUCAUCUCCAUUUCUAAGCCAAAGAAGCGGCAUUGUCCAUAUUUUUUUUAUUGCAAAGGUAUCCAUCUAGUACAUACAAAUCAACUUACUUUAUAUACAUCCAUAAACCAUUACUUUUUAGCCCCUUUUCCCCCCUCUCCCUUCCACUUUACAAAGCAUUUUUAAGUGCAGCCAGUCCAGGAGUCUGUCCAUUUUUUCCGUUGUCUGAUCAUUAGCUUUCCCUUCUUCAACCCAUUUCACAUAUUUUAAUCAGUUCUCUUUUGAUUCUUUGUAUUUUUAUAAUCCAUGGGAUAUCUUGUACUAUUUCCAUAACAUCCAAUUGUACUUGUUCAUAAAUAUAUUCAUUCAAUCUGUCCAUUGUCCAUUUUUUGUAAUCCUUCCAUCUCAGUGUUAUUACAGUAUGGGCAGCUUUAACCAUUGCCAUCAAAGUUUGUUGGCUCUCUUUCUUCAGCGUUUGUAAACCCAACCUUCCAAUUUCCAACAGACCAGGCCUAAUAUAAACUUUAUCUUGAAUAACCUGUUUAUUUUUCCUGGAAAACCCACUCUGCCAAGUUGUAGCAUUUGAGGAGCUGUUUUAUGGGUUUUUAAAAUUAUUUUACCAUCUUGCAUAAACACACAUAUGGUCACAAACACGCUCUAAAUAAAUAAUUAGGGCAAAUUCUAAGCACUGAUCAGCACUUUCAGAAAUAGUCCCAACCCAGCCAUAUAUAGAACAGGUCCAUUGAAAUCAAAAGCACAAGCUUAGGUGUUUCUACACUGUAGAAUUAAUGCAAAUUGACACGACUUUAACAGCCACUUUAACAGCUAUGGAAUCAUG